Molecule: long non-coding RNA, 956 nt
Organism: Bubalus bubalis (water buffalo)
Lineage: Eukaryota; Metazoa; Chordata; Mammalia; Artiodactyla; Bovidae
Exons: 3
Source: RefSeq, a predicted model, not a curated record
CGGCGCCUGCGCACCUCUGCCUCAUUGCCCACUCCGUGCUGCCGGCUAGGGGCGGGGCUAGUAACGGUUUCAAUUGUGGGCAUCUGGACACCUGCCGUUUGCUAACGCUGAGGUUGGGUGGAACUUGUUUUGCGCCUGUGAGACUCAGUGUCGUCGUCCGAAUGGGGCAACCCCACUGUAGUUCAUAUGCUUUUCGGCUGACAAUUGUGCUCGGGCGACGUGGAGGCUGCUGAUGGAAGACGUGAAGCCGGUGCCUGUCAGGAUACUUGCCACACAUCAAGUGGUCCCCAUUUAGCAGUAGCGUCCCAAAGGCCACAGUAUUAAUUGUGAUGGAGGCAAACUAUGAGGCUGGGUCUCCUGGCAGUGUGACAGCCACUGUGAACGUGGGGCCCGACCUAUAAGAACUUGGACAGAAUCUGCCGGCAGACCUAGCAUCAUUUUCCUGUAGCCGUGGCUUUGAGGUGGUGAGAUCCAGGUCUGAGGCGAGGCUGAGGAAGGGGAAGAAGUGUCUUGCAGAGGCCCAGCAUGUAAGAGGAUCAAGGAAACUUUAGUAAAUUUAUUUCUUGGAGAGAAUCUACAGAAUCACUUUUGUAGAGCUUCCCCUGUCCCAAGGAGAUAAACUUGAGGUAAAUUGGGGAGAGUUGAAGUCCCAGGUGUUCCCACCUGCCCUGUGCAGGUUAUAUUUUCAAAAGGAUCAGGUGGAGCAUCCCUUCACAUGAGCACAGUCUUCAUGGGUGCCUCUCCAUCAAGGAGAAAAAAACAUCUCUAAGACCAAAGAUGUCUUGAUUCUAUUGAAAGACUGCAGUAGCUGAAUACUGGUCCCCCAAGGAUGUCCAAUACUUUGCCCAUGUGAUGCAAAGAGCCGACACAUUAGAAAAGACCCUGAUGCUGGGAAAGAUUGAAGGCAGAAGAAGAAGGAGGUGGCGGAGGAUGAGAUGGUUAGAUAGUGUCACUGA